Molecule: ribosomal RNA, 497 nt
Filed under: uncultured bacterium
Lineage: Bacteria
Description: partial 16S ribosomal RNA
Rfam family: Bacterial small subunit ribosomal RNA
Source: RNAcentral
GACGAACGCUGGCGGCGUGCCUAAUACAUGCAAGUUGAGCGCUGAAGGUUGGUACUUGUACCAACUGGAUGAGCAGCGAACGGGUGAGUAACGCGUGGGGAAUCUGCCUUUGAGCGGGGGACAACAUUUGGAAACGAAUGCUAAUACCGCAUAAAAACUUUAAACACAAGUUUUAAGUUUGAAAGAUGCAAUUGCAUCACUCAAAGAUGAUCCCGCGUUGUAUUAGCUAGUUGGUGAGGUAAAGGCUCACCAAGGCGAUGAUACAUAGCCGACCUGAGAGGGUGAUCGGCCACAUUGGGACUGAGACACGGCCCAAACUCCUACGGGAGGCAGCAGUAGGGAAUCUUCGGCAAUGGACGAAAGUCUGACCGAGCAACGCCGCGUGAGUGAAGAAGGUUGUCGGAUCGUAAAACUCUGUUGGUAGAGAAGAACGUUGGUGAAAGUGGAAAGCUCAUCAAGUGACGGUAACUACCCAGAAAGGGACGGCUAACUACGUG